Molecule: long non-coding RNA, 3271 nt
Organism: Pogoniulus pusillus (Red-fronted tinkerbird)
Lineage: Eukaryota; Metazoa; Chordata; Aves; Piciformes; Lybiidae
Exons: 8
Source: RefSeq, a predicted model, not a curated record
AGGCGUCUCCGCCGCGCCUGGGGGCGUACGCAAAUUGCGUACGCGUGUCCGCCGCGCCUAGGUGCCGUUUUGCGCAGAGAGAGCGGCCGCGGCAGACACACUCAAGAUGUCGACCGCGGGGAGCCACACUCAAGAUGGCAGCCGUGCCAAAGCGGCCUCCCCAUUGGCUGGCCUUGACGCACUCAAUAUGGCGGGCACGCGCGCACAAGCAGGCUUCCUAUUGGCUGCCGGGACGCACAGCUCUGGCCGUCGCGGGCGCCACAGUCAAGAUGGCGGCCGCGCGGAAGCUGCCUGCCUGUGAGCUGCCGUGACACGCGGAGCCCUAACCAGGCUCCCUCUUUUGGUGCUGAUGAUGACAGAGUCUGCAUGGACUUGAAUAGAAUUCAGAAGGGUGCUGUGGCUGUUUGUGCCAUCGAUGCAUCUGGCUGCUUCACAGCAGAGGUGGCUGACUUGGCUGGACAGUAUGUGAAGGAUGCAGAUAAGAACAUCACUAAAGUACUGAAAGAGAAAGGCAGACUGGUUCACAGCAGUAGUUUUAAGCACAGCUCUCCUUUCUACUGGAGUAUGUGACCUUGCCUGAGUUGCCUGCUGUUGUGAUCUUCAAAGAUGGAGCUUCCUUUGUUUCUGAUGGUGCCAAAAAGGAGAGCUUCUUCACCUGCUUCUCCGGUGCAAGCUCUUCUGUCUGUCUGUUGAGAUGUUUCUGCCUGUUUAUCUGGCAGAGAAGUGUUUGCUUUUUUGGCUGGCGAGCUGACCAUCCGUGCUACCGUCGCCUUGAAUGCCUCCAACCAGCAGUGUUUGCUGCCAGACAGACACCUUGAGAAGACAGAGGACAUGGUUAAGUUCAUGAACAAUAUCUUGGAUGGUGCUGCUGAAUGAUCUGUUGUAGCAGAAGGAAGCUGUGGCUGCCUGAGCCUGAGACUCAACAUCUGGAAAAGUUGGGAGUUACCCUGGAUGCCUGUGAGGGUAAAGGGAUCUGAUACACAUCUUAGGGCAAUGUGUGUAAGUAUCUGCAGCAUUCCUGAAAACUUGGUGCUAGUUAAAGCAGAGAGAGCAGUACUGGAUGGUUUGUGCUGAGGGCCACGAGGAUGAUCAGAGGGUGGGAGCAGGUCUGCUAUGAGGACAGACUGAAAGAGUUGGGGCUGUGCAAGCUGGAGAAGAGGAGGCUCCAAGGUGGCCUUCUUGUGGCCUUCCAGUAUCUGAAGCCCCCUGUGGCCUACAAAAAAACUGGGGAGGAACUUCAUAGGCUAUCAGAUAGUGCCAGGACUAGGGGGAAUGGAGCAAAGCUGGAGGUGGGGAGAUUCAGACUGGACGUGUGGAGGAAGUUGUUGAGCAUGAGAGUGGCGAGAGCCUGUAAUGGGUUGCCCAGGGAGAUGGUUGAGGCCCCAUCCCUGGAGGUGUUUAAGGCCAGGCUGGAUGAGGCUCUGGCCAGCCUGCUCUAGGGUAGGGUGUCCCUGCCCAUGGCAGGGGGUUGGAACUGGAUGAUUUUUGUGGUCCCUUUCAGCCCUGACUGAUUCUCUCUGCUAUCCAGCUGCAUUCUGCAAUCCCUCUAAGAACAGAUGCUGGCUUUGUAGAAUGUCUCUGUAGGAGGUGUGAAAGGAAUUGGGAGUCUCAUCUGCCUGGACACAGAAACUCUGCUGUCUUUCACAUGGCAGGGGAAUGAUGAUGCAGCAGAGGAGCAGGUAUACAAGAGUGGUAUUGGGGUGUAAAAGAGACUUAGAAAUGCCCCCCCCCCAUCUCCUCUAUGAUAUGUAAAGGCUUCUAGAAAAUAAAACCAACUCCUAGGUAGAAUUAUGAAAUAUAACUUGUGUAUAUGUAAAUUGAAACCAGUGGAUUUUCCUUUGUGUGUCUUGGGUGUUUGGAAAGUGCUUGCCAGCAGGAGUGGGAAAUAAUGCUCAUUAAACUUGAAAAUGAAGUUUCAGCUUGCCCAGCUGCCUCUCAGCAUUGCUGUCCCUACUACAGAGGGGUGGGCAGGCUGCAUCCCUCUCUGGAGGAAGGGAGGGGUGGCUUGCUGUGCUUCAGAGCCUACAAAGAGGGGACUCUUGGACUGAGAUGACCUUCAACAGCAGGACAGCUGCGCAGCAGUGCUGCACACCUUGCAGUUUGUACUUAGCAGCAGGUCUGGCAGCCCUGUGCUAUGCCUUAUGCCUUAUCCCCAGAAGGGAUUUGCUAGGUGAAUUGUUCACGUUCUUUCCCCAUGUCUCAGUUUCCCUGACUAGAAAAUGAGUCAUGAAAGGGCAAACUGCUGUGCUAUGCUCCAGCAAAGAGCAAAGGCUGCUCACCCUCCAGAGCAAAACCGCCAGCCCAUCACUGCCUUGCAUACACUUCUGUCACCAGCUCCUCCUCAGCCCGCUGGGCUUUUUGUCACUCAGCAGGCAUUGGGGCUUGUUUUGUCUGCUGCGUUCCCUCAGCACCCCCACCCACCUACUUCUUCCUGACUGCUGCAUAAUGGGCCUGAAAACACAGACCUGAAAUGCACAUCUGACAUUGAAUUUGGACAUGAGAGUUUAAUGAGGCUGUGGCGGUUCUGCCACUCACAGCCUCCACAUCCUGCCCCUUACACUCGCAUUUCCUUAAUGACAUGUGUCCCCACCACACCUGUGUGAGUGCACACUUAACAUGCACGUGCUCCCCAACAUCACCCACCCUUGCUCCCAGCUGCUCUCUGCAGGGGUGUUGGACAAGAUGAACUUGGAGGGUUCCUUCCAACCCGAUGCAGUCUGUGAUUCUGCAGACUGCUCUCUCUCUCUGUGCCUCCUCCCAGGGUGCUGAGGCCAUAGGGCAGAUGCGACCGAUAGAGAUUCUCCACAUCUAGUAAAUCAAAAACCUUCUGUGCUAGUUUGAAGCAAGCUAGAAUGUCUUGGUGAGAAGAACUACAUCAUAGGCUGUGAAAGGGAAACAAUGGUGUUGUCUACGCCCCUCAGAGUCUUGCUGAAGAAGAAACGAAAACAUUAGAUAACACUCUCUGCCUUGGGCUUCUGACUGAGCUGCAUCUCCCUAACCUCACCUUCCAUUUGGACUAACCCACCUUUGCUUCAUAACCUCUUGGCUGAACCUCUGUUCUUCUUUAGGACUGGGGUAAGGUUGAGAGGGGCAGGGAGAAGGUGUGGCGGUGGUUGAGAGUCCCUCCUGGGGACUCAGGUUUCUGAGAGGGGAGUUGUGCUUCUGUAUCACCUUUUACCUUGUAUAUUUCUGUAUAUAAUUGUAUAUACUGUAAAUAUCUGCUUGUGUAUUGUGCUAGCUGUAAAUAAAUAGCUUCAUUUAUAUUCCCAGA